GGGAAUACUGCAAAGCUAGGGAGUGGGAGAGGUAGACGGUACUCGGUAGGAAGGGGUAAAAUCCUUUGAUCUAUUGAUGACCACCUGUGGCGAAGGGCGGUCUACCAGAACACGUCCGACGGUGAGGGAUGAAAGCUGGGGGAGCAAACCGGAUUAGAUACCCGGGUAGUCCCAGCCGUAAACCAUGCAAACUCAGUGAUGCAUUGGCUUGUGGCCAAUGCAGUGCUGCAGGGAAGCCGUUAAGUUUGCCGCCUGGGAAGUACGUACGCAAGUAUGAAACUUAAAGGAAUUGGCGGGGGAGCACCACAAGGGGUGAAGCCUGCGGUUCAAUUGGAGUCAACGCCAGAAAUCUUACCCGGAGAGACAGCAGAAUGAAGGUCAAGCUGGAGACUUUACCAGACAAGCUGAGAGGUGGUGCAUGGCCGUCGCCAGCUCGUGCCGUGAGAUGUCCUGUUAAGUCAGGUAACGAGUGAGAUCCCUGCCUCUAGUUGCCACCAUUACUCUCAGGAGUAGUGGGGCGAAUUAGCGGGACCGCCGCAGUUAAUGUGGAGGAAGGAAGGGGCCACGGCAGGUCAGUAUGCCCCGAAACUCUGGGGCCACACGCGGGCUGCAAUGGUAGUGACAAUGGGUCCCGAAUCCGAAAGGAGGAGGUAAUCCUCAAACACUACCACAGUUAUGACUGAGGGCUGCAACUCGCCCUCACGAAUAUGGAAUCCCUAGUAACUGCGUGUCAUUAUCGCGCGGUGAAUACGUCCCUGCUCCUUGCACACACCGCCCGU
This 779-nucleotide ribosomal RNA is filed under the name uncultured archaeon. RNAcentral describes it as "bacterial SSU rRNA". It matches the Rfam family "Archaeal small subunit ribosomal RNA", at positions 577 to 1353 of the family's 1478-position model. The record is from RNAcentral.